UACGUAGGUGACAAGCGUUGUCCGGAUUUACUGGGCGUAAAGAGCGCGCAGGCGGUCGAUCAAGUCGAGUGUGAAAGCCCCCGGCUCAACUGGGGAGGGUCAUUCGAUACUGAUCGGCUCGAAGGCAGGAGAGGGUAGUGGAAUUCCCGGUGUAGUGGUGAAAUGCGUAGAUAUCGGGAGGAACACCAGUGGCGAAGGCGACUACCUGGCCUGUUCUUGACGCUGAGGCGCGAAAGCUAGGGGAGCAAACGG
This 252-nucleotide ribosomal RNA is filed under the name uncultured bacterium. RNAcentral describes it as "partial 16S ribosomal RNA". It matches the Rfam family "Bacterial small subunit ribosomal RNA", at positions 524 to 775 of the family's 1533-position model. The record is from RNAcentral.